Molecule: long non-coding RNA, 378 nt
Filed under: Bos taurus (domestic cattle)
Lineage: Eukaryota; Metazoa; Chordata; Mammalia; Artiodactyla; Bovidae
Description: long non-coding RNA NONBTAT025434
Source: RNAcentral
AAGAAAUACUCAAGAGAUUUCUUUCACUUUACUUAAUUAGCAUCAAGCAUUUAAUCUGACUGUACUUAGUUUUUAAAAACCUUUUGUUAACUGCAAAUUUAUCUUGUGCUUCAGAAGGUUCCUCCAACACUAACUUUCUCACCAUUGGCCAAGGUCAGUUUCUGCUGGACUGUGAGCCAGCAGGUCAGCGGCCCAGCUCAGGUUCUCUGUUUUCAGACAGAAACUAGGCCCGGGGCGGGGGACCUGUGUUCUUCCUAAGUCUAUCAAGCUGAGAUCAGAAUAAAGAUUUUAUAGAUACCAAACAGGCAGAAAGCUGCCGGACACUGUGGACUUCAAAUUCUUCAACAAAAGAAAGGCUUGCACCUAUUAUAUCCAUAG